UCAUUUUUGUUUUCCAACAGAUAAUGAUGGUUGCAGGGCCCCUCUUCAAUGGAGGCAUUGCCAGCCUUCUGGCCAUGAAGGAGAAAGUGAUUUCAACUAACCCAGGAAACUCUUACCUCUAAAUGGAGAUACUUCCUGAUAACAGAAGAAACUGGGCAUCUAACCCAGAAAUACCAGCUGAGUAGGAGAAGAGAAAAGGCAUCAGCCAGUCAAGGUUUCAGAAGGCUGCCAACAAGAUACAUUCCUUCAGUGUUAAUGGAUAAUUUUGCAUAGAGGUGUGUAUGCCUACUAUGUAUUCUAUGCCUAUUUGUUAUUGCUGCUAAGAAGAAAAAAAUCCAUGUAAGUUAGUGUACUCAUGAAAUACAGAGGAAACAAAAGAAAAGGUGUGAAAAGCUAAUGAAGAGCAAGUGGUCAGUUCUGGUGCGGUUUGAUGGAGUGGAGAAAGCCACCCACCAGAUCCCUUCCAGACUGGCAGUCUUGAAGUACAGACAGACACAAGCUGCUAUGGUAAUUCAAAAGAAGAACUGACUAAAUACAGCGUGGUCAAGAAAGACAAAUAGAUGAGGUGGGGACUUCAGCUGGGUCUCUCACAGGAUGUCCAGGACAUGGUAUUGGUGAGGGGAGGUGGGAAGAGUGUCCCAAAUAUGGAAGAGGGAAGGAACUGUGGAGGAGCGGUCAAAAUGGAUGCUGAUGUUUGCAAAUAACAAAAGGGAUGAAUAAAUGACAGGCUUCUACAAGUAAACAGUCUAUGUAACUGUUACUAAUUCAAGGUGCUGGAUCUGAUCCCCCACCUAGUAUGUCCCCUGAACGAAUGACUUCAAGGCCACGUAGUUGUCCCUGAGUUUUCCACAUGCCAACCUCCUCCUCCCUAGGCCUGAGAUGUGUUGCAAGUGCUGCUCCUUCUGCCCAGACCCCCUGCUUCCCUAUUCUCAGCAAACCCUUCUUCCUUGACAUAACAAAUUAGCAUGACCUGCAAAUCCUUCAAUGUGACCACAGAUAGAGAGGCCUCCACCCCAAAUUCCUAAAAUAAGUACUCUUCCCAACUUCCGCCCGAGUUUCUAUAGUGGUACCUUACCUGUUUCUUUCACAGCACAUAUUAGCCACCUGUUUAAUUAGCAUGAUUUGAGUGUUGUACCCAUGAAGUCGGACAGAAUCAGAACUGGGAACACAGAGUUUAAUCUGAUGUCAUUUAUCAGAUUUGUAGCCCUGCCACUCAAGAAGAGACAAGGCUUAAAUAGUUGAAUCCAGUCCAGUGGUGAAAUAGCAUGGGUAAAGGUUACAGAUUCAAAUACAAGCUGAGAACUAGGUAAUGUGUAAACUGAAUCUACUCCACUUGGAAGGCACGGACUCAGACGCUUGUACACAGUGACUAUUAGUGGGACUCUACUGGUUUUUUUCUUGUUAUUGAGGAAAGCCUAAGGCCAGAUCACAAGUCCUCAACAAGCCUGGCUGAUAUACAGACUUGGCCAGCCAAGAAAAUAACCCUAAAUUUUCAUGGAAAGAGAACCCAGGUUUCCUGAGAUGGAAAAAAUUCGGGGGGAUGGGGACAGGGGGUAUAUUUUUAUCUUCAUUAAUAUUCAGAAUUAAAUAUAAUCAAACAUUAUUUUUUCGGUUAGGAUGAGAGAAUCAUAUAUUGGGUAUUUUUAAAUACUUGAAAUGUUUACAGGAAUUUCAUAUAUUAGAAUAGCUUCAUGUCCAGUUUAAAAUGGUAACUGAGUUUAGGGUUGUGGUCUUAAGAAGGGGUAAGAGAAUUUUAUUAAGUUUAUGUACAUGGUACAAGGCUAUUAAGAGAUCAUUUGAGCCACAAUUUAUAAAUUUAAUUUUCUGGUUUUACAAGAGUUAGUUAAGUACUUGGGAAGAUUUGUCAGACAGCAGAAGUUCUUAAAAAGAGAAAUAAAAUAUAUUGAAGUUUUAAAGACCAAACUAUUUAAAGAAAUGUAAUUAAGCUAUGAGUCCCUUCAAAGGUGAUUGUUAAAUUUUGCUAGAUUUAUACACAGAAAGAUAAAGCUUAUACAAUUAACUUAAAAGCCUGAGGGAAAGCCGGGCAUUUGGAUGUACAACUCUAACACACUGAACACGUUUUUUUAAAAUAGCACUUGAAUAAUGCCUCCUGAAUAAAAACUGUCCUCCAAGGUCCCAAAUCCUACACAGAUAGACAGUUUCUUUUUGAAGGCCUGUCUUUCCAUGAGAACACUAGCUCUCUGAGGGUGAGAGGAACCCGGUCUUGUCUCACAGUCCCCAGGCCAGGGGCCAAUGUUUACAGAAUAACCAGCUAACACUGUUCUGAUGCACUUAUCACACUGUGUUUUGAUGAUCAGUUGCCAUGGCUAUAGGUCCUUUCAACCUUAGUACUGGAGCUUGGUGUGCCACAAAGUGAGGAUUUGGAAAAUGCUAUGACUGACUGACGGGAAGAACAGGCUGAGAAGUUCUAAGUCUGGAUGACUGAUAACAAAAAAGGAAGUCGGCGGGGGAAGCCCGGAGUUAGGUUUGGGGACAGGACAUGUUGAGUUUGUUACGUGUGCAGUGUCAGAUGGACUGCAUUAUAUAGAUCUGUAGCUGAUUACAUGAACUUAACACAAAAUAGAGGGGCACGCAGACAAAGGAGAAAGCUGGAUCAAUUUUUAAACAUGAAUUCUGGAAGAAAACAUUACUUACAUAUAUGUGUAUAUAGUCCCUCACCAGGUCUUACAGAACAUAAGUGUUCAAAAAAGUUUUUUUAACUUAAUAAGAAUGACAUUAAAUAUUUCAUAUUCUGGGUAAGUGACGAGAUGCUGUAUCUGGAUUUGUAGUAUGUUCACCUGGUAUUAAUGGUAAUGAAAAACAAUUUUAUUUUCCUAAAAGUAAGGUCUCAGAUAAAAUGCUAACGUCACCAAAAUGUACAGAGCUCUUUCAGCAUACAUUUUUCCAAAAUUUAAAAUGUGCACAUUUUAAAUAACACCAUAUAACACACAUGACCUAAAGGGAGUAAUUCUUUUUAGAAUUAUAUUUUAUUUAUAAAAAUCAAAUCUUUUAUGGAGGGUUCACACAAAAAUAAAUAUUUAUUUACUUUUAGGAGAAAUAUCCCUUGAUUAGAAGUCAGGCACAGGGCUGGGCAUGGUGGCUCACGCCUUUAAUCCCAGCACUUUGGGAGGCCGAGGUGGGUGGAUC
This 3147-nucleotide long non-coding RNA is filed under the name Homo sapiens (human). Its description in RNAcentral is "HSALNT0342969". Lineage: Eukaryota; Metazoa; Chordata; Mammalia; Primates; Hominidae. The record is from RNAcentral.